RNAcentral lists this unclassified non-coding RNA (290 nucleotides) under Melitaea cinxia (Glanville fritillary). RNAcentral's name for it is "misc RNA ENSMCXG00005000843.1". The record is from RNAcentral. Lineage: Eukaryota; Metazoa; Arthropoda; Insecta; Lepidoptera; Nymphalidae.
CUCAUACAUAUGCAAAGUUCUCAUCAAUAGAAACGAAUUAAGUUCAAACAGCAGGUAAUUGCUAUAAAUUGGUGAAGAGUUCCCUCGACUAUCUUUCUUCUCCAUCAUCAGAUCGACUCCAAACCUUUAUGAAAUAGUAGUGCUUUAUAGUACUUAAUGAAAACAUGAUUAAAUUUACUAGUCACCCUUACGAUUUUUGAAAGUUUCCCUCAAUUUCUCUGGGAUCCCAUCAUCAGAUCCUGGUUUCCUUAUCAUGGUACCAAACUAUGGAUAUCUCCUUUCCAACAAAA